UACGGAGGAUCCAAGCGUUAUCCGGAUUUAUUGGGUUUAAAGGGUGCGUAGGCGGCUUUUUAAGUCAGCGGUGAAAUUUUGCAGCUUAACUGUAACAGUGCCGUUGAUACUGGGGAGCUAGGAUUUGGUUGCUGUGGGUGGAAUGUGUGGUGUAGCGGUGAAAUGCUUAGAGAUCACACAGAAUAUCGAUUGCGAAGGCAGCUCACAAAGCCAAGAUUGACGCUGAGGCACGAAAGUGUGGGGAUCAAACAGGAUUAGA
Molecule: ribosomal RNA, 259 nt
Filed under: uncultured prokaryote
Description: partial 16S ribosomal RNA
Rfam family: Bacterial small subunit ribosomal RNA
Source: RNAcentral